ACCGCUGGGGGCGCCGAAAGGCUGAGAUGGGCAUGUGCCCGGUCCCUUGGAACCUGAAGUGGAUAAUCCCACCGUAGGGAAGCGG
This 85-nucleotide non-coding RNA is filed under the name bovine gut metagenome. RNAcentral's name for it is "TPP riboswitch (THI element)". It matches the Rfam family "TPP riboswitch aptamer (THI element)", at positions 6 to 93 of the family's 105-position model. From Rfam's summary of the family: Vitamin B(1) in its active form thiamin pyrophosphate (TPP) is an essential coenzyme that is synthesised by coupling of pyrimidine and thiazole moieties in bacteria. The previously detected thiamin-regulatory element, thi box was extended, resulting in a new, highly conserved RNA secondary structure, the THI element, which is widely distributed in eubacteria and also occurs in some archaea. The record is from RNAcentral.